UACGAAGGGGGCUAGCGUUGUUCGGAAUUACUGGGCGUAAAGCGCACGUAGGCGGAUACUUAAGUCAGGGGUGAAAUCCCGGGGCUCAACCCCGGAACUGCCUUUUGAUACUGGGUACCUCGAGUCCGGAAGAGGUGAGUGGAAUUCCGAGUGUAGAGGUGAAAUUCGUAGAUAUUCGGAGGAACACCAGUGGCGAAGGCGGCUCACUGGUCCGGUACUGACGCUGAGGUGCGAAAGCGUGGGGAGCAAACAGG
This 254-nucleotide ribosomal RNA is filed under the name uncultured bacterium. RNAcentral's name for it is "partial 16S ribosomal RNA". It matches the Rfam family "Bacterial small subunit ribosomal RNA", at positions 524 to 776 of the family's 1533-position model. The record is from RNAcentral.